RNAcentral lists this ribosomal RNA (216 nucleotides) under uncultured fungus. RNAcentral's name for it is "partial small subunit ribosomal RNA". The stretch from base 28 to 216 matches the Rfam family "Eukaryotic small subunit ribosomal RNA", at positions 674 to 864 of the family's 1831-position model. Lineage: Eukaryota; Fungi. The record is from RNAcentral.
GGAUCAGUACGAUGGUCGUGCCUCUGGUAUGUACUGUUGUUACUGGUUCCUCCCUUCUGAAGAACUGUCAUGUCAUUAAUUUGGUGUAGCGGGGAAUCAGGACUGUUACUUUGAAAAAAUUAGAGUGUUUAAAGCAGGCUAACGCUUGAAUACAUUAGCAUGGAAUAAUGAAAUAGGACGUUCGAUCUUAUUUUGUUGGUUUCUAAGAUUGACGUA